CCCAGCCCGCUCAGAAACUUAAAGGAAUUGACGGGGGCCCGCACAAGCGGUGGAGCAUGUGGUUUAAUUCGAUGAUACGCGAGGAACCUUACCUGGGCUCAAAUGUAUGUUGACGUAUUCUGAAAGGGAUACUUCUUCGGACAAUAUACAAGGUGCUGCAUGGUUGUCGUCAGCUCGUGCCGUGAGGUGUCGGGUUAAGUCCCAUAACGAGCGCAACCCCUAUCAUUAGUUGCCAUCAGGUCAAGCUGGGGACUCUAAUGAAACUGCCUACGCAAGUAGUGAGGAAGGUGGGGAUGACGUCAAGUCAUCGUGGCCCUUAUGUCCAGGGCGACACACGUGCUACAAUGGCCGGCACAACGGGAAGCGAGUUCGCGAGGACGAGCGGAUCCCUCAAAGCCGGUCGCAGUUCGGAUUGAAGUCUGCAACUCGACUUCAUGAAGCUGGAAUCGCUAGUAAUCGUGGAUCAGCCAAGCCGCGGUGAAUACGUUCCCGGGCCUU
RNAcentral lists this ribosomal RNA (498 nucleotides) under uncultured Sphingobacteriales bacterium. Its description in RNAcentral is "bacterial SSU rRNA". It matches the Rfam family "Bacterial small subunit ribosomal RNA", at positions 903 to 1382 of the family's 1533-position model. The record is from RNAcentral. Lineage: Bacteria; Pseudomonadati; Bacteroidota; Sphingobacteriia; Sphingobacteriales.